Molecule: long non-coding RNA, 2361 nt
Organism: Hippocampus zosterae (dwarf seahorse)
Lineage: Eukaryota; Metazoa; Chordata; Actinopteri; Syngnathiformes; Syngnathidae
Exons: 5
Source: RefSeq, a predicted model, not a curated record
GCGACAGAAGCAGAGAGGCGGCCAACAUUUCGCUGCAGCCAAUGGGAGGCGUGAAGAUGACGGACGGGCUCCGGGCUGCGCGCCUCCUCCCGCAACUACACCCUCACUCACUGGCCGCUCUUGGACCUCCAGCAUCAAAUACUGUCCCUCUUGUUUACGUGAACACUGUCAAGAUGAAGAGGUCAAGUCAACUGCAGCAAAAACUGCUCAUGCUCGCAUGACAGUAACACGCUGCCUAUGUGGUCACCACAGGACACAAACACCGGGAGCCGAGCCACCUAAAGACAGCCAACGCAGGUGGCCUAUUGCGGAGGUGUGACAACUUUGACGGCCACGCCUACGUUAGGCUGUAGGACGUUAAGAAUUGAUGGGCAUCAUGUUUCCACACCUGUGCUGAAAAUAGAAGACAGCAUACCUCGGGGAAAUGUUAAUGGCGGGCAACGCCAAAUUCAGCUGAGCCAUAGACUGCAUGAUGGUGACGUGAAGCGGAAUGCCAACCCGGAAGCUCUCCUUAAUGCCAGACGUAAUAGAUGAAGAGGAGCAACUGGUUUGGAUAGCAUCAUUCACCGCAAUAAAAAUGACAAGGAAAAUAGUUUGCGACUGCAAUCCCGUUACCAGAGAAGCUAAGAGUUUGCUGUGUUUGUUCUUCUCACACCACUCACAGGUCAGUGUCGUUAUUAUGCCAGACAUCUAGUUUGAUGUUUUAUUUGUUGGUCAAGCUCUUCAGGCAGUUUGUUUCAAAGUCGACAUUUCAAAUUAAAUGCGAUAGAGCAUCCUCUGUCAGAGAAUCUUGACUUUGGAACGACCUGCGCCUGGAGCUGAAAUGUGCAAAUUCUGCCACAUUUUUAAAUCGGUCCUUAAAAGUCACUUUUGUAGGAUAGCUUUUAGUUCUUGUGUUAUGUAAUUAUUUGUCGAUUUAAAUGUAUUAUUUUCCCGCCCAUGUAUUUUGACAAUCCCACAUUCAGCCUUCUUGGUUUCAAUUGGGUCUGGUGGGUUCUUGCAUUGCUUGGAUUUUGUCAUUUCUUUUCAGCCCUAGCUGGAGUGAAGGGCGUUUCCCUCCAGCAGGCUCACCUGUUACAUGUUUCCCAAUCAAGCCUGCCAUGUAUUUAAGGACUGCCAAGCUGCCAAGUUACUGUCGUAUUAAUGACCUUGCUCGCCAUAGUGCUUUUUGUUUGUGGUCAAGUGGCGCAAUGACCCGUCCAAUCAGACAGAUGGGGGCACUUUGUCUGUGUAAGUCGACUUCCACUUUCAAACUCUUGCGGCAUAGAAAUAAUACAUUCUCUUACACUGCAAAGAGCAUCGAAAAGAUUAAGGUUGCGGAGGUGGAGGCCUCUAGGAUGGGAAGUAACAUCAAAAUUUCAUAUCGUAUACCCUUUCUCACAAAGAUGACUGAAAAGGUUUACAAUCUUAAGGCCGGCUUAACCGUCACUAACAGCGAUUCCCCUGGAAGUUAACCUACUCAUGCUUUGUGGCUCAAAAGACCAGUUCACUGAAUGUGCAUAGUGUGACACAAAGAUGUGUGUGUCAUGGACUAGAAAAAAGAGCAGUAAGCCUCCAGUCAUUUCGUUUCUUGGAGGAAAUUUGCUAUUGCAUAUUCAGUGUGUGGAAAUUCCACCACUAGGGUCUCAAGAGGGAUUGGAAUUGUAUUCAUCACAGCUUGAGAGAAGUUGAGCAAAACAAACUUGGAAAGAAAAAAAAACAGACAUCUCACUGCAUUUAAAAAACAUUCCCAUAGCGAUUUAAUGAUCUGGCAGUGAUAUGUUUGUUUACUUACAUAUGCGCUCCCCUUCUGGCUAGCUUGGUAGAAAAAUGUGUUACAUUUUGCUAUUAAUUCUAAGUUUCUUAUCUGCUCCUUUGUACAACUAGUGUUAGACCUAAUACCCAAAUUAUGUUUCCAACAUUCUUUUUUGGAGGACUUGAUGAAGGAAAUCGGAAUCACAGCUGCCCUACAGCAGCUCUGUCGUUGGUCACCUUGCCACACGGCAGCACUACACACAGUAAAGCAAAAAACCUAAACCAAAAGCAGGUUCAUGUUCAAUUCAUCUUUGUGCACAUGCUCCUCUCAGUAGUUUGGACGACGCAAUUUUGGUUGUGCUUGGUUAGCCGAUUCACUUUAUCAAUUGUGUCCAUGAAGGGCCUAGAUGGCACGCAGUAGUGCAAGCGUGUCCUUAGACUUUUUGGCCUUGGUGGGGAUUUCUACUCUUUUGAGUGCCCUUCUAUUUUCAACAAUUCCUUUUUAUGCUUUGAUGCCUCGUGCAUGAGUGUUCUUUCAGUCACUCAGCUCGGUAGCGCACCACUAAGUGCAUCCUGCUUUUACAGCGAGGUCCCGCGUCGUCUUCUUGAUGUUCUGUAGCUUUAUUA